RNAcentral lists this unclassified non-coding RNA (146 nucleotides) under soil metagenome. RNAcentral describes it as "partial internal transcribed spacer 1". The record is from RNAcentral.
CAUAAUAAGUGUUUUAUGGCACUUUUUAAAUCCAUAUCCACCUUGUGUGCAAUGUCAGUCGAUCCUCUUCAUGGAGAUCGACCAAACAUCAACCUUUAUUUUUUAACUCUUUGUCUGAAAAAUUUAUGAAUAAACAAUUCAAAAUA